UGCUAUUCUUCGCACGCGCGCGCGCUCAGCUUCCAGGCCGCAGCCCAGCACCACAGCGCACCUUGCCCAGCGUGUUUUUCCCGAACACAUUAGCUGCCGAACCCAGCCACAAUCAGAUCGGCCAAUUCAAUUGAUCCCUGGACUCCAUGCGUGAAUUGAUGCCCUAUAUAAGAUAUCCAGCUCCUCCUCUUUCGAUUUUCACCUUUUUGUAGGUCCCCAUGCACUAUCUCGCCUGUUCCAGAGAAUCCCGAUCUUGCCGGAGUACAUCCGCCCGAAGCUUCUACCGCAGUCGAUUCCAGCCACCCUCUGCUGUCGUCCUCGCUCGCCACAGACGCCGCUGAGGACGUCUUCGAGACCACAGCAAAGCUCCUCGCCCCGUACGCUACCCUCCGGAGUCUGGAUACCACCGGAGCAGGCGCCACCGUCGCCGCCCGAGCCGCCGCGCCGCCGUUUUGUCCAAGUCCGGCUGCCCUGCCCUUGUUUCUCCGCAAAUCAGAAUUAAGCAUUAGAGUACUUCAACACUGCUCAAGGCAAGUUUGCACUUUUGAUUAUGCUCAUCCUAUAUUUCUGCUAUGCAUGUGUGGUUGUUGUGAUAUGUUAUAUGUUUGGUUGAUCGUUAUGUUCUGUGUUGUCAUGUUUUGGUAUUGAUUGUGUUAUGUGAUGGUGUGGGUAGCUAGCGAUGGUAGACAUGGGUAUGUGUCGAGUGAUGCCUGGAAGUGGUGAGUCUUCAUAGCUAUAGGCUCGGGACUUUUUCUCAGGUGAAUGCGUCAAUGGCUGAGCGCUCUAUUGUCCCUAGAGAAUGCGCCAUGGUUGAGCGCACUUGAGGUUUGGGGGCUUAAAUCAGGUGAAUGCGUUGAUGACUGAGCGCUCUAUUGUCCCUAGAGAAUGCCCCACGACUGAGCGCACUUGAGACAUCUUGAAGAUCUUUGUCAUCCAUGUUUGUGUGCACCUUGCCAAUGUAGUGGAGGUAGGUGGAGACAUUCUUCUGCAAACCAACUUGAGUGUUUUCUUUGUCAUACUUUACUUGUGGAUGUAGGUUUUGCUAUAUCAUUAUGUGUGAUUUUCCAAUACAUUGAAUGUAUUGACCCUUGUGGCUGCAACUUAUCAUGUUGCGGGAUUUUCAGAUGAUCAAUGAGAUACAGUAGGGUCACGAGUCUUCACUCAGCAUUUUCGCCAGUGGGCAUUGAUGGGACUCACUGUUUAAUUAUGCUACAUUUCCGCUGUUAUUAUUGAAUAAAGUUAGCUAUGUGCUACUCAGUUUGUAAUACUUUAUGAAUUCUGGAUCAUACGUUGUUGUAAAUGAUGUACUUGUUAUUUGAUAUUCAUAUGUACUGUGUGUGCUAGCUAGUCGAUCUAGGGACUAGCACGGUGAGCACAGAGACAUCGAA
Triticum urartu is the source of this 1388-nucleotide non-coding RNA. Lineage: Eukaryota; Viridiplantae; Streptophyta; Magnoliopsida; Poales; Poaceae. The record is from RefSeq and is a predicted model, not a curated record.